UCCUACGGGAGGCAGCAGUGGGGAAUUUUAGACAAUGGGCGAAAGCCUGAUCCAGCAAUGCCGCGUGUGUGAAGAAGGCCUUCGGGUUGUAAGGCACUUUUGUCCGGAAAGAAAUGGCUCUGGUUAAUACCUGGGGUCGAUGACGGUACCGGAAGAAUAAGGACCGGCUAACUACGUGCCAGCAGCCGCGGUAAUACGUAGGGUCCAAGCGUUAAUCGGAAUUACUGGGCGUAAAGCGUGCGCAGGCGGUUGUGCAAGACCGAUGUGAAAUCCCCGAGCUUAACUUGGGAAUUGCAUUGGUGACUGCACGGCUAGAGUGUGUCAGAGGGGGGUAGAAUUCCACGUGUAGCAGUGAAAUGCGUAGAGAUGUGGAGGAAUACCGAUGGCGAAGGCAGCCCCCUGGGAUAACACUGACGCUCAUGCACGAAAGCGUGGGGAGCAAACAGGAUUAGAUACCCUGGUAGUCCACGCCCUAAACGAUGUCAACUAGUUGUUGGGGAUUCAUUUCCUUAGUAACGUAGCUAACGCGUGAAGUUGACCGCCUGGGGAGUACGGUCGCAAGAUUAAAACUCAAAGGAAUUGACGG
This 586-nucleotide ribosomal RNA is filed under the name uncultured Ralstonia sp. RNAcentral describes it as "bacterial SSU rRNA". It matches the Rfam family "Bacterial small subunit ribosomal RNA", at positions 337 to 916 of the family's 1533-position model. The record is from RNAcentral. Lineage: Bacteria; Pseudomonadati; Pseudomonadota; Betaproteobacteria; Burkholderiales; Burkholderiaceae.